This 634-nucleotide ribosomal RNA is filed under the name uncultured Marinobacter sp. RNAcentral's name for it is "bacterial SSU rRNA". It matches the Rfam family "Bacterial small subunit ribosomal RNA", at positions 870 to 1504 of the family's 1533-position model. Lineage: Bacteria; Pseudomonadati; Pseudomonadota; Gammaproteobacteria; Pseudomonadales; Marinobacteraceae. The record is from RNAcentral.
CGCCUGGGGAGUACGGCCGCAAGGUUAAAACUCAAAUGAAUUGACGGGGGCCCGCACAAGCGGUGGAGCAUGUGGUUUAAUUCGACGCAACGCGAAGAACCUUACCUGGCCUUGACAUGCAGAGAACUUUCCAGAGAUGGAUUGGUGCCUUCGGGAACUCUGACACAGGUGCUGCAUGGCCGUCGUCAGCUCGUGUCGUGAGAUGUUGGGUUAAGUCCCGUAACGAGCGCAACCCCUAUCCCUAGUUGCUAGCAGUUCGGCUGAGAACUCUAGGGAGACUGCCGGUGACAAACCGGAGGAAGGUGGGGAUGACGUCAGGUCAUCAUGGCCCUUACGGCCAGGGCUACACACGUGCUACAAUGGUGCGUACAGAGGGCUGCAAACCCGCGAGGGGGAGCUAAUCUCACAAAACGCAUCGUAGUCCGGAUCGGAGUCUGCAACUCGACUCCGUGAAGUCGGAAUCGCUAGUAAUCGCGAAUCAGAAUGUCGCGGUGAAUACGUUCCCGGGCCUUGUACACACCGCCCGUCACACCAUGGGAGUGGAUUGCACCAGAAGUGGUUAGUCUAACCUUCAGGAGGACGAUCACCACGGUGUGGUUCAUGACUGGGGUGAAGUCGUAACAAGGUAACCGUA